Oxyura jamaicensis (ruddy duck) is the source of this 769-nucleotide long non-coding RNA. RefSeq lists it as uncharacterized. The record is from RefSeq and is a predicted model, not a curated record. The transcript has 4 exons. NCBI's taxonomy places the organism in Eukaryota, Metazoa, Chordata, Aves, Anseriformes, Anatidae.
GAGAGUGCCUCCUGUGAAGCACGGUGGAGGAAUGCUUGGAGGCAGCACGGGUAGCUUUGCGGGGGACGCUGUAGAGCACCGGUCUCGGUUGCCCUGCACAAAGUACACCCAGGUGACACCAGCUAGGCAGCAAUUAGCGUGCUUCAGGGCCUUGGAGCUUCAGGGUGUCAGAAGGAAUCAUCAAACUAACUUCUGCAAGGCAUUAAAAUGCCUUCAGGACCUAUGUUUGGGAUUGCUGCAGCCCAGACGCUGAAUAAAACACUUCAGGUACUUCUCUCCUGUUCAGAAAUCUAGCUGAUGAGAUAUGAUCACCUUGAAUAAGCUUUUCCCUUGUAAACUUGUUUAAGCUUUUCCUUUGUAAACAUCUUUUCUACUUCUUGCCCUGUUCUUCCCUCAUAAAACUCCCUCACAUGCCAGCCAUCCCAGACCCUGUUACGAGAUACAUGAGGUCCCCAGCUGAUGACUCCAUGACUACACUGAAUUAUUUGUUACUGUCCAUCCCCUCCACAUACAAAGAUUCCAUUAUCUUGCAGAAAAGCAUACAAAAGGAAGAGGAUUCAACGUAUCUCUAUAUUUAAGAGGAGAAAUAUAUGACCUGUUCAGCAGUGAUUCCUCUCAAGCAUCAGCAAGAUACAGGCCAGAAGCCUUGACAAUUGUAUUGACUCAGUUUUUUAGGGGACUGGGCUGUGAACCAGAUCUUGGAAUAAAGCUGUUUAAAAACAACAACAGCAACAAACAACAACAAAACAGGGAGGUGAGGAGGGAGGAA